RNAcentral lists this long non-coding RNA (761 nucleotides) under Neogale vison (American mink). Its description in RNAcentral is "Neovison vison (American mink) lncRNA (ENSNVIG00000003155.1)". The record is from RNAcentral. Lineage: Eukaryota; Metazoa; Chordata; Mammalia; Carnivora; Mustelidae.
GAAUUCUUUGAGUGCAUGGAAUCUCCUGAUUUUUUUUUUUUUUUUUUUUACCAUAUAUCCAGGUUCUACUUGCUGGGUAAACAUCAGGCAUAAAAUUAGAUUAAAAUAAAUAUGGGUUUAGGAUUAUUAUGUUUUUAAUUUAUUGACCCAGUAGAUAAGUUUCCAAUUUCCUCACAGUAGCCUCCUUCUGAUUUCAAGACAGAGUGUAGAGAUUCUUUUGAAUAUAGUGGAAAGCAAGAAGGAGUUCCACCAGCUGACAGUAGAGAUUACUAUUUGACUGAAACUCUUUGACAUUUCGAAACAGGAAGCUGUGGAUGAACCUCUCUGCGUGUCAUAUUAUCACUUGAGGUUCAACAGAGAAGGCAGUUACUGAAGACAAAUCCAGACUGGAUGACCUUGAGAAACAAAAUUAUCAGUGAUCCGAAGGGAUACAUUGAAGGGCCAUUGACUGGAAUGUGUCACGUGACUCUAACAAGUGGGAGGGUGAAUGUACCCUUACUGAAUUCAGUUCUCCAGGAAAAAAAAAGCACCGUACAUUGGUGAGUGCUAGUAACGCAUAACUCCAGACUUUCUUUAUUAUGUGGCCUGGGGGUUGACCCCCUCCCCUCUUAUAGAUGCCAGAUAUUGAUGAUCUGCCAUUGAUGAAAAAACUCAUAUGAAGGGCAUUCUCUUUUUAUAGCUUCUGCUUAUUUCUAGCUCUCAAAUUUGGGAAUAGUAGUGGAUAUUUUAGGUUUGUGUUUAGAAAUUGCACUUUUUUUUUC